Molecule: ribosomal RNA, 473 nt
Filed under: uncultured bacterium
Lineage: Bacteria
Description: bacterial SSU rRNA
Rfam family: Bacterial small subunit ribosomal RNA
Source: RNAcentral
UGGGGAAUUUUGGACAAUGGGGGACAACCCUGAUCCAGCCAUGCCGCGUGAGUGAAGAAGGCCUUCGGGUUGUAAAGCUCUUUCGGCGGGGACGAAACGGUCCGUGACAACACCACGGACUAAUGACAGUACUCGCAGAAGAAGCACCGGCUAACUACGUGCCAGCAGCCGCGGUAAUACGUAGGGUGCAGGCGUUAAUCGGAAUUACUGGGCGUAAAGCGUGCGCAGGCGGCUCCUUAAGUCAGAUGUGAAAUCCCCGGGCUCAACCUGGGAAUUGCAUUUGAGACUGCACGGCUAGAGUGUGUCAGAGGGGGGUAGAAUUCCACGUGUAGCAGUGAAAUGCGUAGAUAUGUGGAGGAAUACCGAUGGCGAAGGCAGCCCCCUGGGAUAACACUGACGCUCAUGCACGAAAGCGUGGGGAGCAAACAGGAUUAGAUACCCUCGUAGUCCCUGAGCGGGCUGGCAAGGCGCAU